This 253-nucleotide ribosomal RNA is filed under the name uncultured bacterium. RNAcentral describes it as "partial 16S ribosomal RNA". It matches the Rfam family "Bacterial small subunit ribosomal RNA", at positions 524 to 776 of the family's 1533-position model. The record is from RNAcentral.
UACAGAGGGGGCAAGCGUUGUUCGGAAUUACUGGGCGUAAAGGGCGCGUAGGCGGCUAACUCAGUCGGUCGUGAAAUCCCCUGGCUCAACCAGGGAACUGCGUCCGAUACUGGCUGGCUUGAAUCCGGGAGAGGGAUGUGGAAUUCCAGGUGUAGCGGUGAAAUGCGUAGAUAUCUGGAGGAACACCGGUGGCGAAAGCGACAGCCUGGACCGGUAUUGACGCUGAGGCGCGAAAGCCAGGGGAGCAAACAGG